UGGUGGAAACUGAAAGCUUGACUGUGG
RNAcentral lists this non-coding RNA (27 nucleotides) under Homo sapiens (human). Lineage: Eukaryota; Metazoa; Chordata; Mammalia; Primates; Hominidae. The record is from RNAcentral.